CCAGUGAAGUGCUUUCCUCUCAAUUUUAUCGCCCAAAAUCCUAUCUAAAACCCUAAUUUCCCCUGACUACUGUAAGAAUCUACUCCAUCCAUGGAUCCCAGCACUAGUUCUUCUUCAUCACCAUCAGCUGAAAUGUCAUACCUUAUGAAUUCAUGUGGAUUAUCAGAAAAAUCAGCUCCCACUGCAUCUACAAAAAUUAAAUUCACUUACCUAUCAAAUCCAGAUUCAGUUAUCACUCUCCUUGAGUCAUACGGUUUCACUAAACCAGACAUCACCAAACUCAUCAGUAAGAGAAGAGGCCAAAAUUACUUACAUGAACCACCCAAGGCGGUUCGUGGAGGACUCUGAUAGGUUCAAAGCUGCUGUACAAGAGGUUAAGAGUAAGGGAUUGGAUCCUUGUAAAUCUGCAUUUAUCGAAACCCUUCGUGGUGCGAGAGCUAUAAGUGAAACGACUUUGGAAGAUAGAAUGAAUGUUUAUAGGAAAUGGGGUUCGACUGAUGAAGAACUUGAAAUUUCAUUUAAGAAGUAUCCGAAAUGUUUAUUUGUAUCUGUGAAGAAGAUAACUGCUAUAACGGAUUACCUUGUGACUCAAAUGGGUUAUAGGCUAUCGUAUUUGCGUAGGAAUGUUGGCAUUUUUACUUAUAGCUUGGAGAAGAGGAUUAUACCAAGGCUUGCUGUCCAUCGAUAUCUAAUCUCCAUACAUUUGAUUGAGUCAAGUAGCAUUUACGGUCUUCUAAACUUAUCUGAAGAAGUAUCUGAUUGAGUAUGAAGAAGUUCCUGAACUGCGGCAGGUAUACCAUAAUUCAGUAUUUAGUAUUCCUUUAUUCAGUUAGUGACCAAGUGUGAUGUAGAAGCUCCCAAACUGUUGCAGGUCACAUCUAUGGAUUUCUAAUUGUUGGAUGCGUAGCAGCUACGCUGUAGCUCUACUGUGUUUGCAUCGGUGGAUAGCUCUGAUAGAUAACCCGCUAUUUAUCCAACUUAUGAAUAAUUUUGACUUCUAAAAGAUCUUAUUUUAUCAGAAAUUGGUAACAGAAAUUGCAUGUUCUCCAUUUAUAUUUUUAAGCCUUAUGCCAGAAAGAGUUUCGAACAGUACUGUUGAUAGAUUACCAUUGUAUCAUAAUUACAUAAUCAAUUGUUACAUAAAUAAGUUUGUAUAUACACCUCAUCUCAGGUUCUUAUUUUCUUUCAAGUUGGUCUGGAAGAUUUGAUCUCUUUUCUAUUUUAUUGGUGACCAGGCAUCUAAUGGGCGUUUUACCGAGGACUCACAAAGUGAAGAAGUAAUUUUUUGUUCAGAAAAGGCUAUACAGACUGACGAAGUUGGCAAACCUAAAAAAAUAGCUUCAUCAAGUGAUCUUGUAAAGCAAGAGAAAAUGUUAAAGAAGAAGGAAGAAACGAAGCAAGCCUAUAAACCUAAGAAAAUUUUGAAAAAGUUGAAGAAAAAGGUGGAAGAAGUGGAAGGUAGUGCUACGAAGAAGAAAGAGGAGGUUAAGUCUAAGGGGGGAGAACAAAUUGUUGCUUUCCCUAUUGUUGAGAAAAUUUUAGAAAAGAGUCUUCCAAGUGUGCUCAAGAGGAAACUUGUUUUAGAUACCGAGGAAGAAUCAAAGAAAGUCAAGAAGCCUAAGAAACUUUUGAAAAAGUCGAAGAAAAAAGUAGAGGAAGAGCAAUGUAGUGGUGCAAAGAAGAACAAACAUGCUAAGUCUACAGUAGAAGAAGAUGUUGCUGCUGUUCCCGUUGCUGAGGAAGUAUUAGAAGAUAGCCAAGCCAGUUUGCUCAAGAGUCAAGUUGAUUUAGAUGAGGUGGAAGUGCCAAAGAAAGCUAAAAAAUCUAAGGUCUUGAAAAUGCCAAAGAAAAAUGCUGUGGAAAUUCAAGGUAGUGUGGAAAAUAAAGAAGAGGAAGAUAAGUCUAGCAAAGAGAAAGUGGCAAGGACCUAGCCAGCUCGAAACAAAUAUAUGUCAAAUAUUCACUCUCCAACCGAGAAAGGGUAUUAGGUCUUGAAAUCUUUGGAUGUGAUAAAUGUGAACCAGGAAACACCGUGAUGGCAUUGCAGCAGCAGCUUCGCGAAUUUUAGCAAAUCUCUAGAAUCAGUGAUAGGAUACGAAAAAGACUAUUAACAUGCUGUGAUGACAAGUGGUGUAAAUUCCUUGCAAGAGGUUGUAGUCAAAGAUUCCCAAGAUGAAGAAGCUCAUACAAUUGCAACCACCAACAAGAAACUGAAAUACCUGAAAUGGCUUGCUUAGUUCUCAGUUCAGGUGCUGUCCCUGAGAUCAUCUCAAACUGUAAGGAUUUGGAAACAUAUAUUUGAGUGGUUGUUGGGGUGUUAAGUUCGACGACAAAGACCUAAUGGAAAAACAGAAGUAGUUGGACUAAUUGUAGACGAAUGGAGUUGCUGGGACAUUGUUGUUAUUGUUCAGAUUCUUCUUAUUAUCUGGCUUGGGAUCUUGUGACUGGUGAAAUUGCCGAUUUUGAUAACUUAAACUCUCGAUGGUUGGGAAUUGGGAUAGAGCCAGAGAGAUACUUUCUAUAUCAAAGACAUACUUUUUGGAUCAAACUUACAGUGCUGCAUAUCUUGCAGAAGGAGAAAAGGACUGGAUAUAAAGUUCUUUUUUUCAACAUCUGAAUCCGAGAAGCCUGACUUGACUUUGAACGAAUAUAUAGUCGUCAAUCUGACACGGUGUUUGCGUUUAUCGAAAAUAAAUACUCCCUUCGUUCUUUUUUUAAUAGGCUGGUUUCUAUAAAUAAAUGUUUCAAAAAAUAGGUUGGUUUCCUAAUUGGAAAAGUCAAA
Papaver somniferum (opium poppy) is the source of this 2782-nucleotide RNA transcript. RefSeq lists it as uncharacterized. The record is from RefSeq and is a predicted model, not a curated record. NCBI's taxonomy places the organism in Eukaryota, Viridiplantae, Streptophyta, Magnoliopsida, Ranunculales, Papaveraceae. The transcript has 4 exons.